UGAUUUCUGAAAAGAUAGAACAUAAAUACUUUUCUGAGUAUUUUAUUCCUUUAAUCACGUAACAUCAACACUACUAUAUUUCCGGAAAAAUCUCCACACCUUCCAUCUUUACAGAAACUGCACUUAUAAAUAUUGCAGUCUACGCAUAACUCCACCACACCUUCAAUCUUUACAGAAACUGCACUGCAAUUAUGGAACUCAGCUUUGUCAAUCAAGUUCAUCCGUACAGAACUUCCUGGCGUCUACAAGUUAAGGUCCUUCAUACUUGGAAGCAGUUCACACCUCUCUCAGGAGAAACCUUGGAAAUCGUUUUCUCUGAUGCAUAUGUACGUCUCUAAACUUUCUUAUGAUUCUUUCUGUUAUUUUGUUCUCACUAUUCGUAACUACAUCUAAAUGGCAAACACCUUUCUAAAUCAUGUUCUCUUAUUUAUUGUUGCGGAAACAAAUGAUUCCUAAAUACAUCUAUAUUUUAAAUUUUUAUCUAAUCCGUUUAUUCUUAUUAUAUUGAAGGGUAACAAGAUUCAUGCAUCAUGUAAGAAGACAUACUUUGAUCGUUUGGAGAAUAAAGUACCUGUUGGUGCUUGGAGAAACAUUGACAAUUUCUUGGUGACUAAUAAUGGCGGUAGUUACAAGACUACAAAUCACCAUUACAAGAUUGUCUUCAUUCCCACCACUGACAUCACUCCUUCAACACUGCAAGAGGAAAACAUGUUCCUUAGUUUGGUUGACUUUGAAAGCAUUCAAAGUGGAAAACUUGAUACAACCAACUUAAUUGGUUAGUUUAAUACAUUCAUACAAAUUUUUACUUCUAUAUUUUUCUAAAGUGUUUUACGAAUCUUACAUAUGAUGUGUACAAUAUCAGAUGUUAUUGGACAAGUGUUUGAGUUGGGAGAUCUGGAAACUGUGCAGUGUCACGGUAAAGAAAGAAAGAAA
This 933-nucleotide long non-coding RNA is filed under the name Brassica rapa (field mustard). RNAcentral's name for it is "long non-coding RNA (BRAP_LNC001325)". Lineage: Eukaryota; Viridiplantae; Streptophyta; Magnoliopsida; Brassicales; Brassicaceae. The record is from RNAcentral.